GAUCCUGGCUCAGGAUGAACGCUAGCUACAGGCUUAACACAUGCAAGUCGAGGGGCAGCAUGGUCUUAGCUUGCUAAGGCCGAUGGCGACCGGCGCACGGGUGAGUAACGCGUAUCCAACCUGCCUUACACUCUUGGACAGCCUUCUGAAAGGGAGAUUAAUACAAGAUUGUUAUCAGUAGGGUAACGCUAUUUCGCAUAGUAAGUUUAAAACGGGUUUACCGGUUAGGUAAGAGGUGGGGAUGGUCCGUUCCUAUUAAG
RNAcentral lists this ribosomal RNA (260 nucleotides) under uncultured bacterium. RNAcentral's name for it is "partial 16S ribosomal RNA". It matches the Rfam family "Bacterial small subunit ribosomal RNA", at positions 15 to 278 of the family's 1533-position model. The record is from RNAcentral.